AGAGUUUGAUCAUGGCUCAGAUUGAACGCUGGCGGCAUGCCUUACACAUGCAAGUCGAACGGUAACAGGUUAAGCUGACGAGUGGCGAACGGGUGAGUAAUGUAUCGGAACGUGCCCAGUCGUGGGGGAUAACUGCUCGAAAGAGCAGCUAAUACCGCAUACGACCUGAGGGUGAAAGCGGGGGAUCGCAAGCCUCGCGCGAUUGGAGCGGCCGAUAUCAGAUUAGGUAGUUGGUGAGGUAAAGGCUCNNCAAGCCGACGAUCUGUAGCUGGUCUGAGAGGACGACCAGCCACACUGGGACUGAGACACGGCCAGACUCCUACGGGAGGCAGCAGUGGGGAAUUUUGGACAAUGGGCGCAAGCCUGACCAGCCAUGCCGCGUGCGGGAAGAAGGCCUUCGGGUUGUAAACCGCUUUUGUCAGGGAAGAAAAGGUUCUGGCUAAUACCUGGGACUCAUGACGGUACCUGAAGAAUAAGCACCGGCUAACUACGUGCCAGCAGCCGCGGUAAUACGUGGGGUGCAAGCGUUAAUCGGAAUUACUGGGCGUAAAGCGUGCGCAGGCGGUUAUGCAAGACAGAGGUGAAAUCCCCGGGCUCAACCUGGGAACUGCCUUUGUGACUGCAUGGCUAGAGUACGGUAGAGGGGGAUGGAAUUCCGCGUGUAGCAGUGAAAUGCGUAGAUAUGCGGAGGAACACCGAUGGCGAAGGCAAUCCCCUGGACCUGUACUGACGCUCAUGCACGAAAGCGUGGGGAGCAAACAGGAUUAGAUACCCUCGUAGUCC
RNAcentral lists this ribosomal RNA (783 nucleotides) under uncultured bacterium. Its description in RNAcentral is "bacterial SSU rRNA". It matches the Rfam family "Bacterial small subunit ribosomal RNA", at positions 8 to 796 of the family's 1533-position model. The record is from RNAcentral.